Molecule: ribosomal RNA, 367 nt
Filed under: Apolemichthys xanthurus (yellowtail angelfish)
Lineage: Eukaryota; Metazoa; Chordata; Actinopteri; Pomacanthidae
Description: partial 12S ribosomal RNA
Rfam family: Bacterial small subunit ribosomal RNA
Source: RNAcentral
UAAACAUAGACAGUUCACAUACCCCACUGUCCGCCCGGGUACUACGAGCGUCAGCUUAAAACCCAAAGGACUUGGCGGUGCUUUAAACCCACCUAGAGGAGCCUGUUCUAGAACCGAUAAUCCCCGUUCAACCUCACCCUUCCUUGUUCUUUCCGCCUAUAUACCACCGUCGUCAGUUUACCCUGUGAAGGUCAAACAGUAAGCACAAUCGGCAUAGCCCAAAACGUCAGGUCGAGGUGUAGCGUAUGGAAGGGGAAGAAAUGGGCUACAUUCCCUGAUACCAGGGCAUACGGAUUAUAUGCUGAAACGCAUAUCUGAAGGAGGAUUUAGCAGUAAGUAGGAAGUAGAGUGUCCUGCUGAAACCGGC